AGAGCGGGGACCGCCCCUCUGGGCCGUGCAUCCGCCCCCCCGUCACGGGCGCUGUGCACCGCCUCCGCCCCCCAGGCCCCAGCGGCUGUUCCCGCUGUGACGGUGCUGCCCCGCCGCCGCUGGGAUUGUUCCUCACCAUUGGCACGGUACUUAACAAGCUAAUCUCUGUAUUUCUUGAAUACGCACGAAUUAGCAGCUGACACAAACACUUGGGGGAAAUAAUAUAGCAUAAGUUAAGGGUGUAACUGUGCCUUCAAAACUCACUUCAGAGCUGACCCAGCAAAUGCACAAAUUAUACCGAAGUCUUUCAGAACGGCAGCAAACAGUUUUCAACACAGCGCGCUGCAGCCUGUAUUUCGUUAAUUGAGAGCCUGAGAGCCGUGCCCGGGUCAAGCAGGGAGGUAGCUGCUCACUGAAAGAAGGAGCGAAGCAGUUAACUGUGUGGGGAGUCCAUCAGUGAAAACUUUUGCAACAGACAUUCAAGAGUGGUUUACACCUGAGGCUGUACUCCCUGGUGAUGAGGACAGGAUAGCAGAGUGUAAUUCCUGGUUUCUGUUUCUGGCCCUGGGGACCCACCAGGUCUUUAUGAUUGUGAAUGCCAUCCUGUACAUUGCUGGACCACAGAAUAAAAACCCAGAAGCGUUAUGUGAUAAAAUGAUGAAGACACUCAACGCUGCGUUGGUGCGCAAGGUCUCAGGCUUGUCCCGGCGGUAGCAGGAGCUCUGGAGCCCUGCCUCUCUGCUCCGGGAAAUGCAAGCGGGCUGGCAGCCCGCCCCUCUCAGGGCAGGAGAGCUGUGCCAUCGCCCGUGCAGAAAUGCAGGCUCGGAGGUAAUUCUGUCAUCUGCCGCAGGAGGGUUGCGGACUGCAGCAACACUGAACCGCAGCCCCCAAGUGCUGCCUCAGCACUUUGUUGGAAUCACCUGGCAGCAAACCAGGACGGAUAAAAGGGAAACAGGGAAAGGGAAGCGCCAGGAAUGAAUGAUAUCCUAGAGACACGAGCUGUGUUAGCUCAUGGUAGCGCUUCCUCUGAACACAAGGUGAAUUUACAUCUCCUCCCCAGGUCUAUAGUUUAAAUAUACAGUUAUACAAAUA
Molecule: long non-coding RNA, 1092 nt
Organism: Cyanistes caeruleus (blue tit)
Lineage: Eukaryota; Metazoa; Chordata; Aves; Passeriformes; Paridae
Source: RefSeq, a predicted model, not a curated record